RNAcentral lists this non-coding RNA (78 nucleotides) under unclassified sequences. RNAcentral's name for it is "L2-Alphaproteobacteria ribosomal protein leader". It matches the Rfam family "L2-Alphaproteobacteria ribosomal protein leader". The record is from RNAcentral.
GGGCACCUGCGGACUUCGGUCGAGGGGCCUUACAACAUGAGGCAGGGCAACCUGCCGCAAAGCAACGGAAGACAGAAA